AUCUAUUUAGUAUAUUAUAAGUACUUUUGACUUCCAAUCAAAGAGAUUGAACAUCAAAAUAGAUA
This 65-nucleotide transfer RNA is filed under the name Orophyllus montanus. Its description in RNAcentral is "tRNA-Gly". The record is from RNAcentral. Lineage: Eukaryota; Metazoa; Arthropoda; Insecta; Orthoptera; Tettigoniidae.